Long non-coding RNA from Manacus vitellinus (golden-collared manakin), 1144 nucleotides. RefSeq lists it as uncharacterized. The record is from RefSeq and is a predicted model, not a curated record. The transcript is spliced from 2 exons. NCBI's taxonomy places the organism in Eukaryota, Metazoa, Chordata, Aves, Passeriformes, Pipridae.
GCUGGGAUUUGGGCAGGCUGGGCAGGAAGGCUGGGGGGUCCGAGCCCCCAAAUCAGCCCCGAUCCAGCCGCUUCCCUUCCCUCCGUUUAUCCGUGUUUUUCCUUCCUUUUAUUUUAUUUCCCCCUGACUUUUCCCUCCAAAAAUGGGGGGAAAGACACUGCUUUUCCUUGCUGUUUUUUUUGUUUUAAUUAUUCGGGCCCCUAAUGACGCGCAGCGACGGCUCCAAAGACAUCAAAGCACAAAAAGGAUGGCACAGGGUGGGGAAGCCCCGUUGGUUUCCCGACGCCCCCCAAAACCUUUUUUCCCCCCGGGAUGAGCGCGGGGCUGGAAGCGGCCGGCCCUGCCUGCCCUGCCCGCGCCGGCAGCAGCGGAGGCAAAAAGUGCAUUUAUUGACGAUCUUAAAGAAAAAACCAACCGGACAACUCGGGGGUGAGAUGAGACUAAUUAUUAGUGGUUCUAAAAAGAGCUGGAACACCCAAGUAGGGCUUAACCCGUCUCCUGGGAAACUGAUGGAGACCUAUUUUACAAGCUGUAAUUCUGCUUUAGACUAUCGCGGGCUCAAGGCGGUUCACACUAUUCCCUUUCUUCCAGAAAUAGUCCUAAUCCUAUAUUUCGGCCGGAGAAAGUCCGCUUCGGCUCCGCACUAGACUAAUCCAGAAACCACAUAAAACCAGAUUCCUGCAUCCACAUCCCGGCUGCCGGGAGCUCCCUACCUGUCCGAGCACCGCCCGUGCAAGGCCGGACAAGGAGCUCACCCUGCCUGGGGAAGGAGCAGCUUUCCACGGGGUUUUCUCCCACCAGCACUGAAAAGAAUGAUCCUUUAUCCCUGCUGGAAAACAGCUGCCAAGUGCCACAGCCCGCAGGAGUGGGAACGUGGGGGUUUUAUUUCCCACCCCGGUUCCGAAGGCAGCGACACCGAGGGAUUUCAGAGACCUUGGAAUGCUUUGCCUGUCCCUGCCAGGCUCCCGCUCGGUGCUUCCGCGCCUGCCUGAUCCCACACUGAUCCCACACUGCCCUUCCCUCUCCUUUAUUUAUUUAACUAAUGGACAAGGAGUCGGUGUCAGGGGGAGCUGGGACAAAUUGGGCUUCGCCCGUGCGCUGCUGCCGUGUCCUCAUCCCUAUUAAAGGCAAAGAUUCCCAUCUC